GGGCGGAUGGUUUAGUGGUAUAAUACUCCCUUAGCAUGUCAUCUGCAGGUGAUCUGAUCUGGGAGUGGUCCGGGGUUCGAUUCCCCGUCUGUCCA
Molecule: non-coding RNA, 95 nt
Organism: Claviceps digitariae
Lineage: Eukaryota; Fungi; Ascomycota; Sordariomycetes; Hypocreales; Clavicipitaceae
Source: the annotation of a GenBank genome assembly